GAUGAACGCUAGCGGCAGGCUUAAUACAUGCAAGUCGAGGGGCAGCAUAAGUAGCAAUACUUGAUGGCGACCGGCAAACGGGUGCGGAACACGUACAGAACCUUCCUUCGAGCGGGGAAUAGCCCGGAGAAAUCCGGAUUAAUACCCCAUAGUAAAUUGAAAAGGCAUCUUUUUAAUUUAAAGAUUUAUCACUUGAAGAUGGCUGUGCGCCUGAUUAGGUAGUUGGCGGGGUAACGGCCCACCAAGCCUUCGAUCAGUAACUGGUGUGAGAGCACGACCAGUCACACGGGCACUGAGACACGGGCCCGACUCCUACGGGAGGCAGCAGUAAGGAAUAUUGGUCAAUGGACGCAAGUCUGAACCAGCCAUGCCGCGUGGAGGAUGAA
This 386-nucleotide ribosomal RNA is filed under the name uncultured bacterium. RNAcentral describes it as "bacterial SSU rRNA". It matches the Rfam family "Bacterial small subunit ribosomal RNA", at positions 28 to 412 of the family's 1533-position model. The record is from RNAcentral.